This 412-nucleotide ribosomal RNA is filed under the name uncultured beta proteobacterium. Its description in RNAcentral is "bacterial SSU rRNA". It matches the Rfam family "Bacterial small subunit ribosomal RNA", at positions 9 to 423 of the family's 1533-position model. The record is from RNAcentral. Lineage: Bacteria; Pseudomonadati; Pseudomonadota; Betaproteobacteria.
GAGUUUGAUCUUGGCUCAGAUUGAACGCUGGCGGCAUGCCUUACACAUGCAAGUCGAGCGGCAGCGCGGGGGCAACCCUGGCGGCGAGCGGCGAACGGGUGAGUAAUACAUCGGAACGUGUCCAGUAGCGGGGGAUAACCUCUCGAAAGAGAGGCUAAUACCGCAUACGACCUACGGGUGAAAGCGGGGGACCGCAAGGCCUCGCACUAUUGGAGCGGCCGAUGUCGGAUUAGCUAGUUGGCGGGGUAAAAGCCCACCAAGGCGACGAUCCGUAGCUGGUCUGAGAGGACGAUCAGCCACACUGGAACUGAGACACGGUCCAGACUCCUACGGGAGGCAGCAGUGGGGAAUUUUGGGCAAUGGGGGCAACCCUGAUCCAGCCAUGCCGCGUGAGUGAAGAAGGCCUUCGGUU